UACGUAAGUGGCGAGCGUUAUCCGGAAUUACUGGGUGUAAAGGGAGUGCAGGCGGCCUUUUAAGUCUCAUGUUAAAUUUCCCGGCUUAACCGGGAACCUGCGUGAGAAACUGGAAGGCUUGAGUAGAGGAGAGGAAGCUGGAAUUCCUAGUGUAGCGGUGAAAUGUGUAGAUAUUAGGAAGAACACCAGUGGCGAAGGCGGGCUUCUGGCCUUUUACUGACGCUGAUACUCGAAAGCCGGGGGAGCAAACAGG
RNAcentral lists this ribosomal RNA (253 nucleotides) under uncultured bacterium. RNAcentral's name for it is "partial 16S ribosomal RNA". It matches the Rfam family "Bacterial small subunit ribosomal RNA", at positions 524 to 776 of the family's 1533-position model. The record is from RNAcentral.